GAUGAACGCUGGCGGCGUGCCUAAUACAUGCAAGUCGAGCGAACGGACGAGAAGCUUGCUUCUCUGAUGUUAGCGGCGGACGGGUGAGUAACACGUGGAUAACCUACCUAUAAGACUGGGAUAACUUCGGGAAACCGGAGCUAAUACCGGAUAAUAUUUUGAACCGCAUGGUUCAAAAGUGAAAGACGGUCUUGCUGUCACUUCUAGAUGGAUCCGCGCUGCAUUAGCUAGUUGGCAAGGUAACGGCUUACCAAGGCAACGAUGCAUAGCCGACCUGAGAGGGUGAUCGGCCACACUGGAACUGAGACACGGUCCUGACUCCUACGGGAGGCAGCAGUAGGGAAUCUUCCGUAAUGUGCGAAAGCCUGACGGAGCAACGCCGCGUGAGUGAUGAAAGUCUGCGGAUCGUAAAACUCUGUUAUUAGGGAAGAACAUAUGUGUAAGUAACUGUGCACAUCUUGACGGUACCUAAACAGAAAGCCACGGCUAACUACGU
Molecule: ribosomal RNA, 496 nt
Filed under: uncultured bacterium
Lineage: Bacteria
Description: partial 16S ribosomal RNA
Rfam family: Bacterial small subunit ribosomal RNA
Source: RNAcentral